This is a long non-coding RNA of Mytilus trossulus (common blue mussel), 972 nucleotides long. RefSeq lists it as uncharacterized. The record is from RefSeq and is a predicted model, not a curated record. The transcript is spliced from 3 exons. NCBI's taxonomy places the organism in Eukaryota, Metazoa, Mollusca, Bivalvia, Mytilida, Mytilidae.
CUAAUUACUUAAAUUAUAACCCAUUAUUUUGGUUAAGAUAUUCGAAGUGAAAAUAUGGCAAAUCAUUGUUUCCCAUGAUUACUAUAGAAACAGAAAUGUCUAAAAAUUAAAAUGACUAUCAGCAAUGAAUUAAUAUCAACAAAUCAAAUUACCACAUAAGCUUUACAAAUCACGUGUGCAAUAGCUAAUUCAAGGAAAGGCAGACACGCCCUUAUAAACCAGACAGUCGGAAGCUUCAGGAAUUGCAAAACAUAAUAUUUAAAAAGGAAUAGCAAACAAUGUGUUAUGACAUGUCUUCUUACUAUGACUACUGUCCGUAUGGUUGCUGUGAUGAACAGAAAGACACAAUAUGUUGUAAAUAUUUUGGACCUUUUCUUGGAAUAUCUGUAGCGUUGGCAAUUUUUGUAUCUGUCCUUAUUAUUACUAUUCUUUGCUGUAAACGACAGAAGGGAUCGCCUGGAGAAAUCAUAUCACAAGGAGACAUUAACACCAGCAUGAUUAUUGAAACAUGCACAAUGAAAGAAUGUUCAACUAAAGUCAACGUUAGUAAAGACACUAGCGUUGUUCCUGCGCUGCCACCUUGUUACGCUUCUAUAAACCAUGGGUAUAAAGGAAGUAUAAAUGGAGAAGACCUAUGUGGAAUUAAAUAUAAUAGUCACCAAGACUAUCCACCGCCAUAUCAGCCAUCAGAAAAUAUCUAAAAUUACAAGACGACAACAGAACAACCAGAGGGAAUUUGUCGAAAGUUGUUACAGCCUUUUACUGUGAUUGUCAAUUUAAAUAAUCUUUUGCAUUUUGUCCAAAAUGUAAUGUAGUAAAAUUAAGAAUGUGAAUGGGACAUAUGUCAAAGAGACAACAACUCGACCAAAAAGUAAAUAUUUGCUUAUUCUAUUGAAUUUUACAAAAUAAAAAAAAAUCAUACAAAUAUGAAAAUUAUAUCUAUAUGUGUAUUGAAAGAAAAAAGCAUAUCUA